Molecule: ribosomal RNA, 253 nt
Filed under: uncultured bacterium
Lineage: Bacteria
Description: partial 16S ribosomal RNA
Rfam family: Bacterial small subunit ribosomal RNA
Source: RNAcentral
UACGUAGGUGGCAAGCGUUGUCCGGAUUUACUGGGCGUAAAGAGCGCGCAGGCGGUCGUUCAAGUCGCGUGUGAAAGCCCCCGGCUCAACUGGGGAGGGUCACGCGAUACUGAUCGACUCGAAGGCAGGAGAGGGUAGUGGAAUUCCCGGUGUAGUGGUGAAAUGCGUAGAUAUGUGGAGGAACACCGAUGGCGAAGGCAGCCCCCUGGGAUGAGACUGACGCUCAUGUACGAAAGCGUGGGGAGCAAACAGG